RNAcentral lists this ribosomal RNA (274 nucleotides) under uncultured bacterium. RNAcentral's name for it is "partial 16S ribosomal RNA". It matches the Rfam family "Bacterial small subunit ribosomal RNA", at positions 523 to 796 of the family's 1533-position model. The record is from RNAcentral.
AUACGGAGGGUGCAAGCGUUGUUCGGAAUCACUGGGCGUAAAGGGCGCGCAGGCGGCUAUUUAAGUUGGAUGUGAAAGCCUAUGGCUCAACCAUAGAACUGCAUCCAAAACUAUUUAGCUAGAGUGUGGGAGAGGAAGAUGGAAUUAGUUGUGUAGGGGUAAAAUCCGUAGAGAUAACUAGGAAUACCAAAAGCGAAGGCAAUCUUCUGGAACACUACUGACGCUGAGGCGCGAAAGCGUGGGGAGCAAACAGGAUUAGAAACCCUAGUAGUCC